GUCCUAUAUACAUCCCAUCUAAAGUGGC
RNAcentral lists this non-coding RNA (28 nucleotides) under Rattus norvegicus (Norway rat). Lineage: Eukaryota; Metazoa; Chordata; Mammalia; Rodentia; Muridae. The record is from RNAcentral.